UACGUAGGUGGCGAGCGUUGUCCGGAUUUACUGGGCGUAAAGGGCGCGUAGGUGGCCCGGUCAGUUCGUGGUGAAAGCGCGGGGCUCAACUCCGCGUCGGCCAUGAAUACUGCUGGGCUUGAGCACUGUAGAGGCAGGCGGAAUUCCGGGUGUAGUGGUGAAAUGCGUAGAGAUCCGGAGGAACACCAGUGGCGAAGGCGACACGCUGGGCCGUACCUGACACUGAUGCGCGACAGCAUGGGGAGCAAACAGG
RNAcentral lists this ribosomal RNA (253 nucleotides) under uncultured bacterium. Its description in RNAcentral is "partial 16S ribosomal RNA". It matches the Rfam family "Bacterial small subunit ribosomal RNA", at positions 524 to 776 of the family's 1533-position model. The record is from RNAcentral.